UGCUACUUGCUACACAGACCAUAGCAUAUGUACUGCAUUGUCUACAGUAAAAAAGUCUCAUAUGCUGCAGUGAAGAACUUUAUCAAUAAAUGCCAGGAGGAAUAUGACACAAAAAUUACACAAACUGUAUGUCCAUGCCAGCCAAAAUGUGUUUUUAUGGGGCGGAGUGAUAAUUACCUUAGAGGUGUUGCCCAUAAAAUACAAAAUACUAACAAAACAACAAAAAGCUGCCAUAUUUCACAAUUAUCAUUAAUUCCUAGGAUACUCAGUAAAAAUUCAUUGAUUCUGCAGCCAAAUUGGCUCAAAGUUGCCAAAUGGAAUGAUGUGUAACCACACCUUAGAAAUGUUUUUAAACCAGAUUUUGUACUGGGUUGUACAAUUACCCAACCUUCUGCUGCUCACAAGCCCAUGUACAGGAAAGGUGGUAAAAUGGAACUCACUAUCAUUCUAGAAAAUGUAAUACAGAGGGUUGAGAAGACACUGAAGACGACGAAGCACUGGAGAUCGUAUAACAUCAAUUACUGACAGCAAUGUGGAAAACGUAAAGAAAAUGCUUCUGGAAAAUCAUCGAAUCACCAUCACAGUGGUUUCUGAUGAUGUCUGCAUAUCCAAGGAAUACUACUUGGAAGUUGUGCACUGUUUGCAUAAAGCAAUCCGAAGAAAAAGACUAGAACUGUGGCAAAACCACUCAUGGAAAUUGCAUCACGCUAAUGCUCCUGCUCACACCUCAAUGCCUGUUUGUGAUUUUUUGGCAAAUAGCAAAACUAUUAUGUUGCCUCAGCUACUGUAUUCAAUGGAAAUGGCCCCCUGAGACUUCUGUUGACUCCUGAGGCUGAAGAGAAAUUUUACCACCAAUGAUGAUAUAAAAACAAAAUUUCUGAGGGAGCUGAACGCCACAACAAAAAGUGAAUUCCAUGAGUGCUUCCAAGAUUGGUAAAAGCACUGGCACAAGUGUAUUAU
Schistocerca americana (American grasshopper) is the source of this 960-nucleotide RNA transcript. RefSeq lists it as uncharacterized. The record is from RefSeq and is a predicted model, not a curated record. The transcript is spliced from 3 exons. Lineage: Eukaryota; Metazoa; Arthropoda; Insecta; Orthoptera; Acrididae.